GUGCUCGCCCAGGUAGCACAGGCACUAAACUGGAACGACACAGAGAAGAGUGGCACAGCCCUGCACAAGGACAACACGCAAAUUCGUGAAAUAGUCCAUGAAAGG
This is a small nuclear RNA of Equus asinus (donkey), 105 nucleotides long. The record is from Ensembl. NCBI's taxonomy places the organism in Eukaryota, Metazoa, Chordata, Mammalia, Perissodactyla, Equidae.